UACGGGAGGCAGCAGUGGGGAAUAUUGCACAAUGGGCGCAAGCCUGAUGCAGCCAUGCCGCGUGUAUGAAGAAGGCCUUCGGGUUGUAAAGUACUUUCAGUCGUGAGGAAGGUGUUAAGGUUAAUAACCUUAGCAAUUGACGUUAGCGACAGAAGAAGCACCGGCUAACUCCGUGCCAGCAGCCGCGGUAAUACGUAGGGUGCGAGCGUUGUCCGGAAUUACUGGGCGUAAAGAGCUCGUAGGUGGUUUUGUCGCGUCGUGUGUGAAAUUCCGGGGCUUAACUCGGGGUUGCAUACGAUACGGGCAUAACUUGAGUGCUGUAGGGGAGACUGGAAUUCCUGGUGUAGCGGUGAAAUGCGCAGAUAUCAGGAGGAACACCGAUGGCGAAAGGCAGGGUCUCUGGGGCAGUAACUGACGCUGAGGAGCGAAAGCAUGGGGAGCGAAACAGGAUUAAGGAAUACC
Molecule: ribosomal RNA, 462 nt
Filed under: uncultured bacterium
Lineage: Bacteria
Description: bacterial SSU rRNA
Rfam family: Bacterial small subunit ribosomal RNA
Source: RNAcentral